Cyprinus carpio carpio is the source of this 119-nucleotide ribosomal RNA. The record is from Ensembl. Lineage: Eukaryota; Metazoa; Chordata; Actinopteri; Cypriniformes; Cyprinidae.
UCCUACGGCCAUACCACCCUGAGCGCGCCCGAUCUCGUCUGAUCUCGGAAGCUAAGCAGGGUCGGGCCUGGUUAGUACUUGGAUGGGAGACCGCCUGGGAAUACCAGGUGCUGCAAGCU